This 368-nucleotide RNase P RNA is filed under the name Pediococcus claussenii. RNAcentral's name for it is "RNase P RNA component class B". It matches the Rfam family "Bacterial RNase P class B". Rfam says of the family: Ribonuclease P (RNase P) is a ubiquitous endoribonuclease, found in archaea, bacteria and eukarya as well as chloroplasts and mitochondria. Its best characterised activity is the generation of mature 5'-ends of tRNAs by cleaving the 5'-leader elements of precursor-tRNAs. RNAcentral also lists the same sequence under 1 other name. Lineage: Bacteria; Bacillati; Bacillota; Bacilli; Lactobacillales; Lactobacillaceae. The record is from RNAcentral.
AAUUUCGGGUAAUUGCGGUCAGCUCUAUGCUGACUGAGGAAAGUCCAUGCUCGCACAAGCUGAGAUGCUUGUAGUGUUCGUGCCUGGCGAAAAAAUAAGCUGGGGUACCUUAAUUGGUAACGGCGAAUGAACAAACUAAGGUUUCGACUAAGUUUAAGUAAUUCUGAAAAGUGCCACAGAAACGAGUUGAUUAAGAAAUUAAUCAAAUGGAACGCGGUAAACCCCUCGAGCGGGCAACCCAAACUAUGGUAGGGGAGCUUCACAUGCGGAAAUGAACUGAAUGUGGGGGCAGACAUUGUCUGGAGAUAGAUGAUUACCCAAAUUUAAAUUUCCUGAAAUUUAUUUUGGACAAAACAUGGCUUACAGAA